Molecule: ribosomal RNA, 267 nt
Filed under: uncultured fungus
Lineage: Eukaryota; Fungi
Description: partial small subunit ribosomal RNA
Rfam family: Eukaryotic small subunit ribosomal RNA
Source: RNAcentral
CUUGCUUAAUUGCGAUAACGAACGAAGACCUCCGGCCCCGUUAAACUUAAGCCCGGGUCCCGGCCAUUUGCGGGCCGGCUGGCUUCUUAGGGGGACGUAUCGGCUCAAGCCGAUGGAAGUGCGCGGCAAUAACAGGUCUGUGAUGCCCUUAGAUGUUCUGGGCCGCACGCGCGCUACACUGACAGGGCCAGCGAGUACAUCACCUUAACCGAGAGGUUUGGGUAAUCUUGUUAAACCCUGUCGUGCUGGGGAUAGGGCAUUGCAAUG